GAUGAAGAACGUAGCGAAAUGCGAUACGUAAUGUGAAUUGCAGAAUUCAGUGAAUCAUCGAGUCUUUGAACGCACAUGCGCCCCCUGGUAUUCCGGGGGGCAUGCCUGUCCGAGCGUCAUUGCUGCCCUCAAGCACGGCUUGUGUGUUGGGCCUCCGUCCUCCUCCCGGGGGACGGGCCCGAAAGGCAGCGGCGGCACCGCGUCCGGUCCUCGAGCGUAUGGGGCUUCGUCACCCGCUCUUGUAGGCCCGGCCGGCGCUUGCCGACACAUCAAUCUUUUUUCCAGGUUGACCUCGGAUCAGGUAGGGAUACCCGCUGAACUUAAGCAUAUCAAUAAGCGGAGGA
RNAcentral lists this unclassified non-coding RNA (344 nucleotides) under soil metagenome. RNAcentral describes it as "partial contains 5.8S ribosomal RNA, internal transcribed spacer 2, and large subunit ribosomal RNA". The stretch from base 1 to 119 matches the Rfam family "5.8S ribosomal RNA", at positions 35 to 154 of the family's 154-position model. The record is from RNAcentral.